Scylla paramamosain (green mud crab) is the source of this 1574-nucleotide long non-coding RNA. RefSeq lists it as uncharacterized. Lineage: Eukaryota; Metazoa; Arthropoda; Malacostraca; Decapoda; Portunidae. The transcript has 2 exons. The record is from RefSeq and is a predicted model, not a curated record.
CAAAGUUAGUCUGGUUUCAAUGUAGAUACCUUAGUACCACUGUAGGCAACGUAAUGGUUAUGCAUUCAUAAAUAAUUUCAAGAUUUAAUUUCAAACCACCUCGCCAAGGACAUCACACGUGUCGUGCCCUUCUUCCCUUCGGGCACUGCACUGAAACACUGAGAAACUGAUCUGAAGGAUAUGGGAUGUCAUGACCGGAAGGGGAUUUUAUCCCAGACCAGAACAGAAGGAUAGCACCUUAAAGGUCGGGGCAAUACUGAUAGUGCGGUCCCAGAAUGAUGUCUGGGGGGGGGAAGUUACUCCCACUGCUCACUACAUAUGCGCAUCUAAAUAGUACCUGUCCAUACUCAUUACCAAGGACAGGGAGGGGAAUUAUUUAUUAUACUUUAAAAUCUGAUAACUUGUUAUCAGUUAGACUUGAAGGAUCGACUGUAUACUCUGUGACUGAAUAUUUGUAUCGCUAUGUGAAGCUAGCAUGAAAGAUGUUGAUAAGGUAGAGGGAGAGAGUCGGUUUCACGUGACAUUAUUAGCGAACAUUUUGUCAACGUAAUCAAUGUCAAUUAUUCGUAAGAGUAGUAGUAGUUAUUUUUUUUACGUCUGCUCAGGAUGUGUUCUUUCACAAGUUUUAGGGACCGAGAUGAAAUCACGGGAUAAGAUCGUGCCAAGUGAUAAUACGUAGUGGAUUAUUCUGAUGAUCGUGCCUCAGUGCGAGGAGUGCACAAGCUUGCAAACCAGAAAGGACAAAUGCUUAUAAACACUAACCAGGCGCACAAAUUAUUAUUAUUAUUAUUAUUAUUAUUAUUAUUACUAUUAUUAUUAUUAUUAUUAUUGUUUAUUUGCUUUACAAUUAAUUUUAAAUAAAGCGAGAGGUUUCUAAGUUGAAUGACCAAGCAAAGAAAGGAGCCGCUGAUAUGAUUAUACGAGCGCCUGAUCAUUGUGCGAAGGACCACUUCACUGUACAAAACUACAAGGGUUUUUCUUAUCACCUCAUGAGCAUCCCAAUAGGCAUCGGUGACCAGGCAAGCAAAGUCAUCUCCUGAGUGGGUGCACGAAUGUUUCUGACUGAACGGUGAUCACAGUAUUCAAAACAUUACUUGAAAACAAUGUUCUCGCUGAAUUGAAAUGAGGGAGAUUGGAGGGCAAAAUUACGGCAGUUCGUAUAUACAAUUAGUCUUAAGAUACCGUGUGGCACUUAGAAAAAUACUAAAACAACAAUGAGGUGUCUGCAAGUACAGCCUUACAUUGAAUGGAAACUUCACCUUCCUUCAAAGCCUCUGCAUCAUCAUCUCCGCUGCAGUCAGUCACAUCUGGGAAAACUCCGCCUGCAAAAAGUAAGCGUGUGUCCCGGCGAGCCCCUGGCCAGACUGGAGCUCUUUCUCUUCACUCACCUGUUUCAGCGGUUCACCUUCAUACUGAUGGAGGAGGAGAAAUCCCUCCUAGAAAGCAACGCAAUGUUCAACGCUCCGCCGGAGUACACUGCCAGAGCAAAGUGCCGCACUAAAUAAGCCUCCACGUGACCAAUUAAGCAAGAUGCUUUCAUUAAUGUAACCUCGAAUGAAGCUCAAAGUACACGA